GACUCCUCUACCCCUACCCAACCUCCCCACGGCAGUAACUCACGGCGACUUGGCCGGAAAAUGACGCAUCGGGUCCUUGAAGUUUCACUGUAGCAGAAGUGGUCAACGUCGAUAUCUUCCGUUUCCGGCCGUCUCCGGCCACCAAACCGGCGUCGAAGGUUCGGUUUUUGGCAAGGAUCAUUUUGCCCGUAGCCUCAAGCCACGAUUUGCAGCGUGGAGGAAGAAUCGAAGGUUUGAAUUUCUUGACACUGUUCACAUUUCGGGGCAAUGUCGCGAGCUACGGCUAGAUGAAGGAACUCGUUUGCGUGGUCGCCCAAUACAUAUGA
This 326-nucleotide long non-coding RNA is filed under the name Rosa chinensis. Its description in RNAcentral is "sRNA RchiOBHm_Chr4g0402061". The record is from RNAcentral. Lineage: Eukaryota; Viridiplantae; Streptophyta; Magnoliopsida; Rosales; Rosaceae.